Zophobas morio is the source of this 765-nucleotide long non-coding RNA. RefSeq lists it as uncharacterized. Lineage: Eukaryota; Metazoa; Arthropoda; Insecta; Coleoptera; Tenebrionidae. The record is from RefSeq and is a predicted model, not a curated record. The transcript is spliced from 4 exons.
AUUUCUUCAGUCGAUAAUAAAAUAUUUAACGGCCUUUUAAAAUUAACAGCACUAUAUCUUCAUGAUAAUCACCUGCAAGCAAUUCCUGCUGGUUGCUUUAAAGAACUGAAAACGUUGCAGUACUUAGAUUUGAGAGUCAAUAUUAUUACUGAAAUUGGGCCAAAUGUCGUCCGUGACGAUUUUAACUAUUCCAAUUUCAAAAUACAGCCGUCUACGAGGUUUCAAUGCUCCUCAAGAAAAAUCUACCAAUGCAAACUUAAUUUUACUGAGAGCAACUGCACCCACGAUGGAGAUUUAGUAGAGUAUAAAGGUUUUAGUAAGGAAAACUGUAACCAAAAUACUAUCCUACUCACGAUCCCACCAAUUUCUGCGCCAAAAAAUACUUCAGAAUAUAUUCAGGUCAAUACCAACAAAAGCAUUUCAGGAGUCGUUCAGUCUAUAGAUGGUAGUAAGUCUUUAAAGACGCCUCAAAGUCCGGAAAUAAAGAAGGUUUUAGUUCCGAAAAACUCUUUAGAAACACUUCAGUCUUCUGUAAAUAAAAACAUUUCCGAAAAUAACGCAAAGUCUAUAAUUGCUCUCCGGCCCGCUGAGAAAGAGAAUGUUCAAAAAGUUACUAUAAAAACUAACACGCCCGAGUUACCACAGUCUUCUAUCCAAAAAAACUUAUUGAAUGAAAAUCAAGUGAAAAGAAACAAUACAAAUAUCACGCAGGAACCGAAAAAGAUUGGAAAGCUUGAAAUCUAUUGAUAAAAAAAGCAAUUCAAA